AUCCCAAAAGCUUCUCUUCUUGUUCCUCCCUGAAAGCUUAGCAUUUUCAGUUUCAUUUCUUUUCAGCAUCUCCCACAUAACACGAACAUCCUCAUAUUCACAAGCUCUUACAUCAUGAUGCAGCUUGAGUAACCCUCGUUUGCGAAUCCCAAUACGAAAAGCGACGCCUUUCCAAACUCUUCGCACAGGAUAGAUAACCUUAUCCCACCAUUCCAUUUUCAACUACAGAAUAGGCUCUCCUCCGGCUAAAGGAGAGAGGAAGGGACAGAUCAAAGGACGAAGGAAUCCCAAAAACCCAAACAAUAUAUAAAUCUUU
Molecule: unclassified non-coding RNA, 316 nt
Filed under: Hevea brasiliensis (rubber tree)
Lineage: Eukaryota; Viridiplantae; Streptophyta; Magnoliopsida; Malpighiales; Euphorbiaceae
Source: RNAcentral